This is a long non-coding RNA of Plectropomus leopardus (leopard coralgrouper), 741 nucleotides long. RefSeq lists it as uncharacterized. The record is from RefSeq and is a predicted model, not a curated record. Lineage: Eukaryota; Metazoa; Chordata; Actinopteri; Perciformes; Serranidae.
ACUCACCUUCAGACUGAUCUCCCAUUGCUGACCUCGCAUGACUCUGACCUACCUGCCUUGUUGUAAUCCUGGAAGUCACCUUAGCCCUCUGUCCCUGCAAAGAAAGUCUACUGCCUGGUUUCUGUUGGCCUCCCACAUGGGCUGUUUGGUGUCUUCCAACGACGUCUCCACAGUGUCCUUCCUGCUCCCCUUGCAGUCUCUCUGCCUCCCAUUAAACUGCAGUGUUGCUCCUGAAAUGAAAGUGUUGGUCUCAGCUGUGGAGUCCUGCAGACCUGUGGGGCUUCAGCUUCAGGCCGCUCAGUUCUCUGCGUAUCCUCCACUGCGUGAUCACCAAUACAUCCUCAUGAGCUUGAGCACUUCCUGCAGCCACUGACCCAUCAGACAAAAUUUUCCAGUGGCAGGUUCUGACCCGCGGCGGUUGGAGCUGGGUGUCGUGCCUGGACCCUCAUUACUGCGAUUUUUGAGAAGCUGCAAAGUCCACACUGAAGUCAGAGCUUUGAUGUACUUUGAACCUAGUGGGGGUUCAGAUUGGAAACCUCCAAAAAGUACACUGCUGCAUAACUAAAGUUCCCAAUGGUGGCGGAAACCAGUCAUCAGUUUUUAAUGACUCAGGUGAGAGGGAAUCUCCACAGUGCACACUGUAAAUCACUGAAAAAAUGGCAUUCAUUAACUGUAAUGGUAAAUCCCUUUGCAAUAUGUAUUUGUGACUUUUAUCUGAGACCACACAAAAACAAGAAAACC